ACACGAACCUCGCCGGAGAGCCGCCGCACCCGAGAGCACCGCUGCCGGUAAGCUUCGAUUUUUCGUAAUUUUUUGGCCCCCCGAGGGCCCUAGGGUUGUUUUAUCACAGAGACCGAUGCAAGUGUGGCCGAAUUCGGCCAGAAACGGCUAAAAACGGCCAACCCAAGGUGAAUCGCCGUCGCUUGCGGCGGUGCCGUCGUCGGAGCACGACGAAGCCGCCGUGCCGGAUUUGCGAUAUUG
Molecule: long non-coding RNA, 240 nt
Filed under: Carica papaya (papaya)
Lineage: Eukaryota; Viridiplantae; Streptophyta; Magnoliopsida; Brassicales; Caricaceae
Description: long non-coding RNA (CPAP_LNC010846)
Source: RNAcentral